UGGCUCAGAUUGAACGCUGGCGGCAUGCCUUACACAUGCAAGUCGAACGGUAACAGGUCUUCGGAUGCUGACGAGUGGCGAACGGGUGAGUAAUACAUCGGAACGUGCCCGAUCGUGGGGGAUAACGGAGCGAAAGCUUUGCUAAUACCGCAUACGAUCUACGGAUGAAAGCAGGGGACCGCAAGGCCUUGCGCGGACGGAGCGGCCGAUGGCAGAUUAGGUAGUUGGUGGGAUAAAAGCUUACCAAGCCGACGAUCUGUAGCUGGUCUGAGAGGACGACCAGCCACACUGGGACUGAGACACGGCCCAGACUCCUACGGGAGGCAGCAGUGGGGAAUUUUGGACAAUGGGCGAAAGCCUGAUCCAGCCAUGCCGCGUGCAGGAUGAAGGCCUUCGGGUUGUAAACUGCUUUUGUACGGAACGAAAAGACUCCUUCUAAUAAAGGGG
This 447-nucleotide ribosomal RNA is filed under the name Acidovorax sp. R-26834. RNAcentral's name for it is "bacterial SSU rRNA". It matches the Rfam family "Bacterial small subunit ribosomal RNA", at positions 20 to 468 of the family's 1533-position model. Lineage: Bacteria; Pseudomonadati; Pseudomonadota; Betaproteobacteria; Burkholderiales; Comamonadaceae. The record is from RNAcentral.